Molecule: ribosomal RNA, 253 nt
Filed under: uncultured bacterium
Lineage: Bacteria
Description: partial 16S ribosomal RNA
Rfam family: Bacterial small subunit ribosomal RNA
Source: RNAcentral
UACGUAGGUGGCAAGCGUUGUCCGGAUUUACUGGGCGUAAAGAGCGCGCAGGCGGUCGUACAAGUCGCGUGUGAAAGCCCCCGGCUCAACUGGGGAGGGUCACGCGAUACUGUUCGACUCGAAGGCAGGAGAGGGAAGCAGAAUUCCCGGUGUAGUGGUGAAACGCGUAGAUAUCGGGAGGAAUACCAGUGGCGAAGGCGGCUUCCUGGCCUGUUCUUGACGCUGAGGCGCGAAAGCUAGGGUAGCAAACGGG